CUGAUGUAAGUGGGAGUGUGGCUGAACGAGUCAUUUUGCCCAGGUUACUUACAGCCAGUGAGCUUCAAAGCAAGCAUCUGAGUGAGGGCUGACUCCCCAGCCCUGCUCUGCCCUGCACCAGGCAUCACGAGCUCCAAGCCCUCAGGGCCCAUCAGCCUCACUGUGAAGCUCAAAGGAUCAUAGUUCCCUGACCAGGGAUCGAACCUGCGCCCCCUGCAGUGGAAGCACAGGGUCUUAACCACUGGACCACCAGGGAAGUCCCCAUAGUUUAUGAUUCUUUCCGUUAAACUACGUUAAAAAUCAUGUCCUUUCUGUCUCUUGAUUGACAGAAGUAUACUUAGAAGAAAGGGAUGAAAAUCAUUCAACUAUACAAAAACCAUCAACUAUAACAGCUGGGACUUUACAGAGGUCCACAUUUAUUUACUUGGAAGGUCAAAUGCCUAAGCUUAUGAUAUUUUAUAAAAAGGAAGUGGUGAAGUCUAGUUUAUUUUUUCCUUGGUUGCUUGCACUUGUGGUUUCAUAUCUAAGAAACCAUUGCCUAAGUCAAGAGACAUUACUUUGCCAACAAAGGUCUGUCUAGUUAAGGCUAUGGUUUUUCCAGUAGUCAUGUAUGGAUGUGAGAGUUGUACUAUAAAGAAAGCUGCUGCUGCUGCUAAGUCACUUCAGUCGUGUCUGACUCUGAAGAAAGCUGAGUGCUGAAGAAUUGAUGCUUUUGAACUGUGGUAUUAAAGAACACUCGUGAGAGUCCCUUGGACUGCAAGGAGAUCCAACCAGUCCAUCCUAAAGGAAAUCAGUCCUGAAUAUUCAUUGGAAGGACUGAGGCUGAAGCUGAAACUCCAAUACUUUGGCCACCUGAUGCAAAGAGCUGACUCAUUUGAAAAGACCCUGAUGCUGGGAAAGAUUGAAGGUGGGAGGAGAAGGGGAUGACAGAGGAUGAGAUGUUGGAUGGCAUCACUGACUCAAUGGAUAUGAGUUUGAGUAAACUCCGGGAGUUGGUGAUGGAGGGAAACCUGGUGUGCUACAGUCCAUGGGGUCGCAAAGAGUCAGACACGACUGAGCAACUGAACUGAACUGAGGUCAAGGUCAUAAAGAUUCAGACCUAGGCUGUCUUCUAAGAGUUUUAUGGUUUUAGUUCACACACUUGUUUAGCAAAUUAACCUGUACUGCCCCCCCCCCAAAAAAUCCUAAAGUAAAAUAUAAUUUUAACUUUUUCUACCUUUUUGCAAUUUCAAACAUGUCUUUCAUGACAAUAAUCAUUCUGCUAUAAAG
Molecule: long non-coding RNA, 1269 nt
Organism: Bos taurus (domestic cattle)
Lineage: Eukaryota; Metazoa; Chordata; Mammalia; Artiodactyla; Bovidae
Source: Ensembl